GCCUCAGUAGUUCAACGGACAGAACGAGGCCCUCCUAAGGCCUAGACGCAGGUUCAUUGCCCGCCUGCGGCG
This 72-nucleotide transfer RNA is filed under the name Rhodoferax saidenbachensis. It matches the Rfam family "tRNA". From Rfam's summary of the family: Transfer RNA (tRNA) molecules are approximately 80 nucleotides in length. Their secondary structure includes four short double-helical elements and three loops (D, anti-codon, and T loops). The record is from Rfam by way of RNAcentral. Lineage: Bacteria; Pseudomonadati; Pseudomonadota; Betaproteobacteria; Burkholderiales; Comamonadaceae.